This 507-nucleotide unclassified non-coding RNA is filed under the name uncultured Archaeospora. Its description in RNAcentral is "SSU rRNA". It matches the Rfam family "Eukaryotic small subunit ribosomal RNA", at positions 569 to 1075 of the family's 1831-position model. Lineage: Eukaryota; Fungi; Glomeromycota; Glomeromycetes; Archaeosporales; Archaeosporaceae. The record is from RNAcentral.
AGCAGCCGCGGUAAUUCCAGCUCCAAUAGCGUAUAUUAAAGUUGUUGCAGUUAAAAGCUCGUAGUUGAAUUUCGGGAUCAAUUAAUUGGUCGUGCCUCUGGUACGUACUGGUUUUAUUGGUUUCUCCCUUCUGACGAACCAUGAUGUCAUUAAUUUGGUGUCUUGGGGGAAUCAGGACUGUUACUUUGAAAAAAUUAGAGUGUUUAAAGCAGGCUCACGCUUGAAUACAUUAGCAUGGAAUAAUGAAAUAGGACGUUUGAUUCUAUUUUGUUGGUUUCUAGGAUUGACGUAAUGAUUAAUAGGGAUAGUUGGGGGGCAUUAGUAUUCAAUUGUCAGAGGUGAAAUUCUUGGAUUUAUUGAAGACUAACUACUGCGAAAGCAUUUGCCAAGGAUGUUUUCAUUAAUCAAGAACGAAAGUUAGGGGAUCGAAGACGAUCAGAUACCGUCGUAGUCUUAACCAUAAACUAUGCCGACUAGGAAUCAGACGAUGUUAAUUUUUUCAAUGAC